This 766-nucleotide long non-coding RNA is filed under the name Rattus norvegicus (Norway rat). Its description in RNAcentral is "long non-coding RNA NONRATT018010". Lineage: Eukaryota; Metazoa; Chordata; Mammalia; Rodentia; Muridae. The record is from RNAcentral.
UUUUUUUUUUUUUUUUUUUUUUUUUUUAAGUCCCCCGAAGGGGUGCACCGUUCCUGGAGGUACUGCAAUACCAGGUCGAUGCGUGGAGUGGACGGAGCAAGCUCCUAUUCCAACUCCUAGUUCCAAAAAUCCAUUUAAUAUAUUGUCCUCGGAUAGAGGACGUAUCAGAUAUUAAACUGAUAAGAACAGAUACUACACUUGAUCUUAGCCAAAAGGCCGAGAAGGGAUGCCACUGGCCUUUCUUGUCUUGUCCCAGCCCUGUCCUGCCAUUCCCUGGCUGUCAUCAUACAGCCUGUGACAGGAGCUCUGAUUGGCCUGGCUCUGGCCCCGGGUGGCUAUGGUUUGGUGCUAAGGCUAAGCAGGGAGAGAGGACACAGUGGGACUGACUGGCCACUCAAUACCAGACAUCCCCAGAUCUAAUCCAGCCCUAUUUUGCAGGAACAGACAACGCAAACUGGGGACAAAACUGCAGUGACUGGUGGAUGUGACUGGGUAAAGCCUCCGAAUCUGGCCUGCACCAUGCCUUGCAGGAUGGACAGAAAGAUGAAUGAGGGGUGAAGCAGAGACCUCUGCAGACCCGAGUCACCAAGUGGAGCCUUUUUUUUUCCUUAUUUUAAUUUUAAUGGACACGGUGGACCAAAGUGCUGAGUCAGGUCCUCAGCCAGGACCCUGGGAGGACCUGCUGUGUGUGGGUCACAUGGCCGGAGCCCCUCUCUGCUGCUGCCAGCUCCUGACUGGGUGGAAAGUGCUCUUGGCAUGGGCCUCA